GAUGAACGCUGGCGGCGUGCCUAAUACAUGCAAGUCGAGCGAACAGACGAGGAGCUUGCUCCUCUGACGUUAGCGGCGGACGGGUGAGUAACACGUGGAUAACCUACCUAUAAGACUGGGAUAACUUCGGGAAACCGGUGCUAAUACCGGAUAAUAUAUUGAACCGCAUGGUUCAAUAGUGAAAGACGGUUUUGCUGUCACUUAUAGAUGGAUCCGCGCCGCAUUAGCUAGUUGGUAAGGUAACGGCUUACCAAGGCGACGAUGCGUAGCCGACCUGAGAGGGUGAUCGGCCACACUGGAACUGAGACACGGUCCAGACUCCUACGGGAGGCAGCAGUAGGGAAUCUUGCGCAAUGGGCGAAAGCCUGACGGAGCAACGCCGCGUGAGUGAUGAAGGUCUUCGGAUCGUAAAACUCUGUUAUUAGGGAAGAAAAAAUGUGUAAGUAACUAUGCACGUCUUGACGGUACCUAAUCAGAAAGCCACGGCUAACUACGUG
Molecule: ribosomal RNA, 497 nt
Filed under: uncultured bacterium
Lineage: Bacteria
Description: partial 16S ribosomal RNA
Rfam family: Bacterial small subunit ribosomal RNA
Source: RNAcentral